UAGGGAAUCUUCCACAAUGGACGAAAGUCUGAUGGAGCAACGCCGCGUGAGUGAAGAAGGGUUUCGGCUCGUAAAACUCUGUUGUUAAAGAAGAACAUAUCUGAGAGUAACUGUUCAGGUAUUGACGGUAUUUAACCAGAAAGCCCACGGCUAACUACGUGCCAG
Molecule: ribosomal RNA, 165 nt
Filed under: uncultured bacterium
Lineage: Bacteria
Description: partial 16S rRNA
Rfam family: Bacterial small subunit ribosomal RNA
Source: RNAcentral